UGGACGUCAUACUAAACUCCGAAUUAUACACAAGAAACUAAAAUUUAAAAUCAUACAAGACUAAACAAGCCAGAGGCUCCUGACUUGGGACAGGCCGCAAAAUUGCGGCGGGGUUAAACAUGUUUAUGAUUCUCAACCUCCCCCUAUACCUCUAGCCAAUGUAGAAAAGUAAAAGAAUAACAAUACGCACAUUAAAAUUCAGUUCAAGAGAAGUCCGAGUCUGAUGUCAAAAGAUGUAACAAAAGAAAAUAAAUAAAAUGACAAUAAUACAUAAAUAACAACAGACUACUAGCAGUUAACUGACAUGCCAGCUCCAGACCUCAAUUAAACUGAUUGAAAGAUUAUGUCUUCAUCAUAUGAAUAUCAGGUACAAUCCCUCCCGUUAGGGGUUUAGUAUCAUACUAUCAUAAAAUAUAUGAGAAGAACAUAACCCGUGUCAUGCCAACAACUGUUUUUUUAGAAGUAAAUGUGUUUAGUUCCGAUGCAAAGACCCUAUCAGUGAAUCAAUGUUAAAGCCAAAAUAUGCAAUCUUUAAUGACCUGACAACAGUAUCGUAACUAUAUCCCCUUUUAAUAAGUCUAUUUAAAGGUUUUGUUAGUUUCUGAG
Molecule: long non-coding RNA, 606 nt
Filed under: Mytilus galloprovincialis (Mediterranean mussel)
Lineage: Eukaryota; Metazoa; Mollusca; Bivalvia; Mytilida; Mytilidae
Source: RNAcentral